This 253-nucleotide ribosomal RNA is filed under the name uncultured bacterium. RNAcentral's name for it is "partial 16S ribosomal RNA". It matches the Rfam family "Bacterial small subunit ribosomal RNA", at positions 524 to 776 of the family's 1533-position model. The record is from RNAcentral.
UACGUAGGGUGCGAGCGUUGCCCGGAUUUAUUGGGCGUAAAGGGCGCGUAGGCGGCCACGCACGUCCGUUGUGAAAUCGCCCGGCUCAACUGGGCGGGGUCAGCGGAUACGGUGUGGCUCGAGCAAGCUAGGGGGCAAUGGAAUUCCCGGUGUAGUGGUGGAAUGCGUAGAUAUCUGGAGGAAUACCGGUGGCGAAGGCGGCUAUCUGGCCAUAUAUUGACGCUGAGAUACGAAAGCGUGGGGAGCAAACAGG